Long non-coding RNA from Dromaius novaehollandiae (emu), 638 nucleotides. Lineage: Eukaryota; Metazoa; Chordata; Aves; Casuariiformes; Dromaiidae. The record is from Ensembl.
GUCCCUGAGGGGCGAGAAGCCGCCGCGGGGCCGCAGCCCCCCCGGCUUCCUCUGGCGACCCGGGUGGUUCUUCCACGCGGCGGCGGAGCCUCCCCGCGCAGCCCCUCUGUGUCGGGCCCCUCCGGGCCGCCUCCUUUGUGCCCUCUCCCGGCCCAGCGGCGCUGAGGGGGCGGCGCGGCGCGCUGCCCGGCAGGGGGAUGCCGCAGGACGCGGCCAACUGUUGCCGAGAGAGGCACCGGCCGGACGCCGGGUGCGGGGCCAGGUGCGGCCGGGCGCCAGGUGCGGGGCGCGGGGCGGGCCUCGCCUCGCCGGCUCCGCGGGCAGCGCGCCGGGCUCGGUGGCGGCUCGGCGGCUGCCGCGGCGCGGCGCUUCUCGGCUCGGGCGGCUCGGCUGCCGCGGCACUGCGCAGAGCGGCCGCAGCUGCGGGCUUCGCCGCCGCGGUGCCUCGGGUGUCAGUGAGACAAAAGAUGGUGGCGGCGCUUCAGCGGCGACAGUGCAACAAACAUCAUGUCAUAAGCUGUUCUGUAGUGGUAGGUAACCUUUAUUCUACCUGCAACUCUGUUACUUUGAAAAAAGAAUUAAAGAUUAUUUACAGCAGAAGGAAAGACUCUUGCCCUGUGAUCAAGGCAUUCAUGUGA